ACAUUGUAAAAAUAAGAUGUAGUAACAAGAUAUCCAUUAUUUUUGCAUGAAAUUGAAGGCUUUAUUUAGUAUAGUUAGAAUGAUCCGAUUUAGGUCAAAUAUGCACCGUUUUGUUCGAUAACUUGUUGCCAUUUUGAAGGUAAUUCCAUUAUGCCUCUCUCAUAGAAACCCUCGUCCCUAUUGGCAAAAAACAUUUUACAUUUUCGACAAUUGGCCUUCCAGAGCGUGAUGCAUCUUUGACAUCAAAAUUACCGGAACGGAAUCGAAACCAAAAUUGCGCGUGAUUGGCUGUUACAGUAUCAGGACCAUAAACACUAUUCACAUUUUCAGCCGCCUGAUUUGCGUUUUCGCCUUUAUCGAAGAAAAACUGUAAAAUAUGGCGUAUUUUCUCUUUGCUGAUGUCCAUCUUUGAUGCGCACUCAAACAAUACUGAGUCAAGCAAUCAUAAAAUUGUCUGAGAAGUUUUUUUAGUACGAAAUCUUAUCUUUCUAACGCCAUCUAGCGUAACCCAAUCGCACUUAUACAACGCGAGAUACAGAUUACUAAAGCCAUCUAUUGGAAAAAUAAUGGAUUUCUUUUUACUACACCUUAUAUGAGAAGGAAAAUGAAAGCUCAAAGAAAAAUAAUACAAACGUUACAAACUGAGAUUAAAAACGAUAAGUUAAAAUUAGCUUUAAGAACAAUUUUUAAGAAGAUUAAAUCGAGACUUUUAAUGACAAAGAAGCAGUGUCAAAAUUGGUUUCAUAAAACUAUACAACGUGCUCUACAAAUAAAAUUUGUUUGUGGUCGUAAUCGUCGUUUGUGGUCGGUAUGAUGCACUUAUUCAACAAGGAUACCGUUACCAAACUUACGGACGCUAUGACGAAAAUUGGAAGAUUUAAAAUUUGAAUCUGGAAUUUCAUUAAAAAUUUCAAAUUUUUAUCACAUUAGAAAUCUCACUUUGAAAAUGAAGUUGAUUUGGAAUGUGACUUGAUAUUUGAUGAAAUGACAAUUACACCCAAAAGAUCUUACAACUCCUCAACAGAGUUAUUAAUAGGAAACAUCACAUUUCCCUAAGAAACAGAUAAUUGUCAAAGCAGAAAAAAUAGGAUUUCAUGUUAAUUUUAUCACCUCAGACAUGGGUCCUGGGAAUAUGAGAUUAUGAAGAUUAUUAGGAAUAAGUGCGGGUAGAUUUAAUGAAAUAAGCAACUCUAUUACACAUCCAUUUGACGAUAAUCGAUUGUUAUAUAUAAUUGUCGACUCAUCACAUAUUUUGAAAAAUCUGAAACAAGCGUUAGUUAGUAAUGGAAUAAUCAUUGUCUUUAAUGAUGUUAUUAUAAAAUAUAAUUUACUUUGCGAUAAAAUUGAAUUAAAACAUAUUGGCGAACUGAUAAAUAUUCAAAAUAAUUCUUAACUUCGUAACUUUUUGUAACACUUAAAUUAAAAGCAGAUGAUGUUAGAUGCAAUAAUUUCAACAAAAUGAAGGUUAAUAAAGUCAAACACAUUUUCUCUAAUGACGUGAGUAGCUCUUUGCAGCUCUUAGCAGAUGAGAACAAUAAAUCUGAAUAUAUCACUACCGCCUGGUAUAUUACAAUUAUA
This 1578-nucleotide unclassified non-coding RNA is filed under the name Acromyrmex echinatior (Panamanian leafcutter ant). Its description in RNAcentral is "tHAP domain-containing protein 4-like, transcript variant X3". The record is from RNAcentral. Lineage: Eukaryota; Metazoa; Arthropoda; Insecta; Hymenoptera; Formicidae.